CCUACGGGUGGCAGCAGUGGGGAAUAUUGGACAAUGGGCGCAAGCCUGAUCCAGCAAUGCCGCGUGUGUGAAGAAGGCCUUCGGGUUGUAAAGCACUUUUAUCAGGAGCGAAAUACUACCGGCUAAUAUCCGGUGGGGCUGACGGUACCUGAGGAAUAAGCACCGGCUAACUUCGUGCCAGCAGCCGCGGUAAUACGAAGGGUGCAAGCGUUAAUCGGAAUUACUGGGCGUAAAGCGUGCGUAGGCGGUUUGUUAAGUCUGCUGUGAAAUCCCCGGGCUCAACCUGGGAAUGGCAGUGGAUACUGGCAAGCUAGAGUGUGUCAGAGGAUGGUGGAAUUCCCGGUGUAGCGGUGAAAUGCGUAGAUAUAGGAAGGAACACCAGUGGCGAAGGCGACCACCUGGACUGAUACUGACACUGAGGUGCGAAAGCGUGGGGAGCA
This 440-nucleotide ribosomal RNA is filed under the name uncultured bacterium. RNAcentral's name for it is "bacterial SSU rRNA". It matches the Rfam family "Bacterial small subunit ribosomal RNA", at positions 338 to 770 of the family's 1533-position model. The record is from RNAcentral.